AAUAAUUCAUAAUAAUGUAUACAAAUCACUAAAUUGACACAUUUAAAUCUAGUGCCAUCCUUUUCCUCAGGGAGUAUUAUGAAAGGGAUUGCAAUAGAUAUAGACCUGUCACUAUAGUUUAGUUUAGAGAUUGUGCUUCAACAGAAUCA
This is a long non-coding RNA of Maniola jurtina (meadow brown), 149 nucleotides long. RefSeq lists it as uncharacterized. NCBI's taxonomy places the organism in Eukaryota, Metazoa, Arthropoda, Insecta, Lepidoptera, Nymphalidae. The transcript is spliced from 3 exons. The record is from RefSeq and is a predicted model, not a curated record.